RNAcentral lists this ribosomal RNA (1267 nucleotides) under metagenome. Its description in RNAcentral is "bacterial SSU rRNA". It matches the Rfam family "Eukaryotic small subunit ribosomal RNA", at positions 677 to 1799 of the family's 1831-position model. The record is from RNAcentral.
GCUGUGGAAACCUCCUUGAUUGGUGGUAGAAGCGCUUCCGCAUUCAACACAUGCAUAUGCCCCUGUCCGUGGAGGUUACUGUGAACAAAACAGCGUGUCCAAAGCAACCACAUGUCUGGCUGAAUGAUCUAGCAUGGAAUAACAAGGCAUCGACCACUGGAGUCAGCCUUUUUGUUGGUUUUACAUGACCCAGUUGGGCAAUGCAGUGCUUGUGCUUCAUUGAGGUUCUUAGUCAGCUCUACCGAACUGUCUUCCCUCAGUUGGACCUUGUUCCCUAUCGGGAUCAAUGGAAGCCAUCGGGGUGGUAUGUAUUCCGACGUGAGCGGUGGAAUGCUUAGACCGUUGGAAGACAAACGACAGCGAAGGCAUUCCGCCAGAAUGUUUUCAUUAAUCAAGAACGAGAGUGUGGGGAUCGAAGAUGAUCAGAUACCAUCGUAGUCCAUUACCGUAAACUAUGCCAACUCGGCAUUGGGAGUCUGUUCACUUUGAAGACUCUCCCAGCAUCAUCCCCCAAUAACGAGAAAUCCAAGUCUAUGGGUUCAGGGGGGAGUACAGUCGCAAGGCUGAAACUUAAAGGAAUUGACGGAAUGACACCACAAGGCGUGGAGUAUGCGGCUUAAUUUGACUCAACACGGGGAAGCUUACCAGGUCAGACACAGUAAGGAUUGACAGAUUGAGAGCUCUUUCUUGAUCCUAUGGAUGGUGGUGCAUGGCCGUUUCUGGUUCGUGGAGUGAUCUGUCUGCUUAAUUGCGAUAACGAACGAGAUCUCUACCUCUAAAUAGGCGCCGGUCUCGCAUUUAAGUAGGGAUGUGUUGGGGGCCUUCGUGUCCCCUCAUGUCCUGAGAGUGCCGGGAUCGCUUCUUAGACGGACUGUGCAUGUCUUUAAUGCACGGAAGAGGGAGUCAAUAGCAGGUCUGUGAUGCUCCUAGAUGUUCUGGGCUGCACGCGCACUACACUGGCACAGUAAACGAGUUGCACCUGCUUCGGCAGUCCUGCUUAGAAGUGAGCGUGGGAAAUCUUAGAAAACUGUGUCGUGCUGGGGAUAGAUGAUUGCGAUUAUUUGUCUUGAACGAGGAAUGCCUAGUAGAGGUACUUCAUCAGAGUACCUUGAUUGUGUCCCUGCCAUUUGUACACACCGCCCGUCGUUGCUACCGAUUGGCUGUAAAAUAGAGGCCUUAAGAGUCGCUUCCGCAAAGCUUUGCUUUUGAGGUUGUGACAAAUCUGGCCAAUAUUUCAUUGCUAGAGGAAGCGAAAGUCGUAACAAGG